This 496-nucleotide ribosomal RNA is filed under the name uncultured bacterium. RNAcentral's name for it is "partial 16S ribosomal RNA". It matches the Rfam family "Bacterial small subunit ribosomal RNA", at positions 29 to 507 of the family's 1533-position model. The record is from RNAcentral.
ACGAACGCUGGCGGCGUGCCUAAUACAUGCCAGUUGAGCGCUGAAGGUUGGUACUUGUACCGACUGGAUGAGCAGCGAACGGGUGAGUAACGCGUGGGGAAUCUGCCUUUGAGCGGGGGACAACAUUUGGAAACGAAUGCUAAUACCGCAUAAAAACUUUAAACACAAGUUUUAAGUUUGAAAGAUGCAAUUGCAUCACUCAAAGAUGAUCCCGCGUUGUAUUAGCUAGUUGGUGAGGUAAAGGCUCACCAAGGCGAUGAUACAUAGCCGACCUGAGAGGGUGAUCGGCCACAUUGGGACUGGGACACGGCCCAAACUCCUACGGGAGGCAGCAGUAGGGAAUCUUCGGCAAUGGACGAAAGUCUGACCGAGCAACGCCGCGUGAGUGAAGAAGGUUUUCGGAUCGUAAAACUCUGUUGGUAGAGAAGAACGUUGGUGAGAGUGGAAAGCUCAUCAAGUGACGGUAACUAACCAGAAAGGGACGGCUAACUACGUG